Molecule: ribosomal RNA, 422 nt
Filed under: uncultured bacterium
Lineage: Bacteria
Description: bacterial SSU rRNA
Rfam family: Bacterial small subunit ribosomal RNA
Source: RNAcentral
UGAGGAAUAUUGGGCAAUGCCCGCAAGGGUGACCCAGCAACGCCGCGUGGAGGAUGAAUGUCGUAAGAUUGUAAACUCCUGUUAGAGGGGAAGAAUAGUACCGGUUGGACCGGUAUAUGACUGUACCCUCAGAGAAAGCCCCGGCUAACUACGUGCCAGCAGCCGCGGUAAUACGUAGGGGGCAAGCGUUGUCCGGAUUUACUGGGUGUAAAGGGCGCGCAGGCGGGAUAAAAAGUCAGUGGUGCAAUCCUACAGCUUAACUGUAGAACUGCCUUUGAUACUUUUAUUCUUGAGUUCGGGAGAGAGAGACGGAAUGCCAGGUGUAGUGGUGAAAUACGUAGAUAUCUGGAAGAACACCAGUUGCGAAGGCGGUCUCUUGGUCCGACACUGACGCUGAGGCGCGAAAGCGUGGGGAGCAAACA